Molecule: long non-coding RNA, 481 nt
Filed under: Pan troglodytes (chimpanzee)
Lineage: Eukaryota; Metazoa; Chordata; Mammalia; Primates; Hominidae
Description: long non-coding RNA NONPTRT006912
Source: RNAcentral
GAUUUUCAUUCAUAAAAUUGCUUUAUAUUAUUUGUUUCACUUUUGCUAUGUUUCUCAUUGGGAUGCAAUUCAGAUUGUAAGUUCUCUUGAAUAUGACGAUUCCUCCUAGUUUUAGGUUAUCUCAUACCUUUUGGGUCACAGUAUCAUGCAUUUUGGACACUCAGACGUAUUGUUUUCUGUUUUGUUUGAUCUGUGUUAAGACUCUUUCAAGGCACGGUGUGAAAAAAGGCACGAACACUGGUGACACAAAGUCCUGAUUUCAAAUCCUGUUCUGUCACUUGUUAGCGCAUGACCUUGGCAAGUUAAUUUAAGUCACAGAAUAAUAAUUUACUCUCUGGUAAAAGAAUAUUAAUAAUUUCCACUCAACAGUAAGUGGAUUGGAUAGACAGGACAUAUGACACAUAUAGGCAUAGCGCCUGGCACAUAUAUGGGAGAUUAGUGAUAAUUUCCCCAAUCACCUUUUUUUUUUUUUUUUUUUUUC